UUCAGCGACAUUAUCAUUGUGAAAUACGACAUACACGUUUUAAAGGUCUUGAAAAGAAAAUAAUUAAUGAACACAUACAUGUUAUUUGAAAACUCAGAGCAAUGAUCCAAGAGUACUUGUCCAGGUAAACUGAGUACGAAUAAAUGGAAUUGAUUAGCCCCGCAAAAUACAGCGCUUCUAAUUGCUUCCUCUGGUCUAUCCAAAUUUACAACUGCCUGUAAAAUAUUGUACGUAUGUUGAUAAGCUUUUCUAAUUCUUUGAUUUUGUUGAUUAAAUUGCUUUUUACUUGGACAGCUGUCGCGCUUAUGGCCAACAUAUUUAACCCAACUGGAAUAAGAUAACGAUUUCGAUUGCUUUCAUUCAGAAUAUUAUAAAACCUCAAAAUUUAACGCAUGAAUGAAUUAGUUAUUAUAAUUAUUUGAAAUAUGUAUUUUAUUGUUAUUUGAUAAAUACAAACUGGAUAGCUUCAUCUUCGAUUAUAUUUACCCGCAAACAGUAAAUAAUCCGCUGCAAUGGUGAAUUAUAAGAAUCAACAAUGAAUCUACGGCAACUAUGGUUACUACAACCAUGAUUGAUCCCCAAGCAAGUUGCAAAUAUACAUAGAAAAAAUAAUUAUCAUCGUUAAAAAAUAAAUAAUUAACUUUGAGCAGUUGUUGUCGUGGUCGAGUUUCAUUUAAUGGAAGAACGAUGUCUAAUAUGGGAGAAAGUAAUGGAA
Apis dorsata (giant honeybee) is the source of this 715-nucleotide long non-coding RNA. RefSeq lists it as uncharacterized. NCBI's taxonomy places the organism in Eukaryota, Metazoa, Arthropoda, Insecta, Hymenoptera, Apidae. The record is from RefSeq and is a predicted model, not a curated record. The transcript is spliced from 3 exons.